GCGUUUUUCUUGAAUUUUUUUCUCGCAUCGUUCGCUACUGCUGGUUCGCUCGAGCUCACUUAAGCUUCAAGCUUCCAUGGCAGAAACUUGAAGCUCUCUUGCUCCCUCUCUCUCCAUCUCUCUCUUCAUCCCUCUCUCCUACUCUCUCUCUCUCUCUCUACCUCUCUCCUACUCUCUCUCUCUCUCUCUACCUCUCUCCUACUCUCUCUCUCAUUAAUUCAAACCCUAGAAAUUGGGGAUUCUUCCAAUAUCAAAGGAUACCAAGGGCUUUCAAGGUUGAGAGGUACAAAGACAGAGAAAUCUUUGGGGUUGAAACUAAGAGGGGAGAUCCUAGAGGAUCCAAAGAUCCAAAAAGAAAUCGUACAAAGAGUUAGUUAGAGAGAAGUCAAACAAGGACCUUGAAAAUGAGCUUGAUGAUAAAGCUAAUUGGCCAAAGCCUAUUGAAGACCCUUUUAUUCAUCUAUUAUACGAAGAGGCAAACAAAAAGGCUUGCAAACCAAUACUUUAGAUAAGAAUGAGUGGGCUGGGAUAGAAAAGAAGUUGUUUGACAAGUUUGGGAAGAGAUACAAUUGUGACAAAUUGAAGCGGAAAUAUAACUGACUGCACAAGAUUCAUCGUGAGUUUGGAAAGCUCAUUUCUCAUACCGAGAUGGGUUGGGACCCAAACAUGAACACUGUUCAAGCAUUUGAAGAAGUUUGGGCAUCAUAUGUCAAGGUAUGCAUCUUGUUGUGUAACUUGUAUUGUUUUGGUAUCCUUCAAUGUAUGUGCAUUUUCUAAUGCCAAGACUGAAGUUUCAUUGGCAAGGCUUAAGUGUAAGAGUGAGAAGGAAGUAUCCUCUCCAUAUAGAGAAUUGAGCACCAUUGAGGAUUCUAUAGAAAUAUUGGAGGCCAUGGAGGGAGUGAAUGAUGAUGCUCAUGUGAAAGCUUUGGAUAAGUUUACUAAUUUAGAUUGGAGGAAGAUGUUCUUGAAGAUGUUGGAUCCGCGGAGAAGAGUGUGGCUCAAUAGCCUACUAAAGUGAACGAGAGUGAAUGAUUAGUCGUAAUUUAUUUAGAUUAAAUGAUUAAUUGAG
Molecule: long non-coding RNA, 1069 nt
Organism: Prunus avium (sweet cherry)
Lineage: Eukaryota; Viridiplantae; Streptophyta; Magnoliopsida; Rosales; Rosaceae
Source: RefSeq, a predicted model, not a curated record